This 323-nucleotide unclassified non-coding RNA is filed under the name soil metagenome. RNAcentral's name for it is "partial contains 5.8S ribosomal RNA, internal transcribed spacer 2, and large subunit ribosomal RNA". The stretch from base 1 to 120 matches the Rfam family "5.8S ribosomal RNA", at positions 35 to 154 of the family's 154-position model. The record is from RNAcentral.
GAUGAAGAACGUAGCGAAAUGCGAUAAGUAGUGUGAAUUGUAGAAUUCAGUGAAUCAUCGAAUCUUUGAACGCACAUUGCGCCCCUUGGUAUUCCAUGGGGCAUGCCUGUUCGAGCGUCAUUUGUACCUUCAAGCUUUGCUUGGUGUUGGGUGUUUGUCCUGAGGGACUCGCCUUAAAGUAAUUGGCAGCCAGUGUUUGGUUUUGAAGCGCAGCACAAGUCGCGAUUCAAAGCUAUACGCCCGCUUCCACAAGCCUUUUUCACUUUUGACCUCGGAUCAGGUAGGGAUACCCGCUGAACUUAAGCAUAUCAAUAAGCGGAGGA